UUUUUUUUUUUUUUUUUGGAAGUUACGCUCGAUUUGAUGAUUUUUGCCGUGUUUUAGAUAUCAUCUAUUCGAAUUUACAAAUUACGAUUUCGUUGUUUAAAACGCUAUAAAAGAAAAUGCAUGUUCAUCGUUGCAACGCGACCAUUUAGUAGCCCUUAAUGAUGAUUUCUAUCUCAUAUUUCUCCGCAAAUCAAUGGAGUUAUUUCUAUAGCGUGCCCCAACAUGUAUGAAUAGUUUUGGUGUUUUUCUUUUUUAAAUUCUGCGCUUUCUACGUGUCAGAAUGACAGUACUAACCACUACUAUCCAUAUCGUGAUAUUGAACUUGAAGUGCAAAUUCUUUGAUCUUUGCCUUUCAAAUAUUAUAAUUUAAGUGGUGUGCAGAAGCAUUCGGUCACUUGUUUAACUGAAGCUUUCUUAUAUUUGCACACUGGGGCAAUUAUUUAUUUGCACAUCCUAUUAACAGAGUGAGAAAUGACAUGUGCACUGAAGAAGCAGAAAAAACCUAAUGUGCAAGAUUAAUAAUAUAUUUAUAUCUAUACGUUUCCUUGGUAGGUGUCGGUUCCUCGCCUGUACGACGGAUACAUGCAUAAUCCUGCUCACGGUAAAAGUUUUGAUGAUUUUGAACCUUAUCUAGCAGCCAACAGACUAGCAAACAGAUCCCGAGGUUUGCCUGAGAAUAACCUUCUUAAAAGUUUCUCAGGGGAUAGAGAAAGAGCCAACAGUGUUGCUAAGAUCAAAGUUGUGGUAUGUCUCAUUGAGGUUCUUCUGAUGUUUCUCUUAUUCAUGCCAUGUAGUGCCCCGAUUAAGUGAAUUUUUUUCCCCAGUAAUUGAUAAAAAUGCUAAUGGCAAUUUCUUAUAUGUAGGUACGCAAGAGACCAUUAAACAGAAAGGAAAUAGCAAAGAAAGAGGAUGAUAUCAUUACCAUAGAGCCAAAUUCCAAUUCUCUUACAGUUCAUGAAACGAAACUCAAAGUGAGUUCUUGAUAGAUGAAUCUUAUACUCCAAAAGUUGCCAAUCAUAUCUCAUUAUGGUGAUAGUUCCUCUGUCCCCAGAAACCAACCUAAUGAAUUUCCCUUUGAGUUCAUUAUUAUCUCUGGAAAAUAUGUGAUGAUAUUGGCAUAUUCGGAUUCCUCGACUGCUGAUAUCAUAAUAUAUAAGCUAGCAGUCUGUUCAUCGAAACUGAAACUGAGUGCUGAAUGCUUCAUUGUUUAAGCAAAAUAGAAUACUUGCUUCCAACCAAUUUCGUUGUUAUUGCAAGAUUUUCUAGGUUACAAUAAUAUGGGUAUAUAAGUAACUUGAUAUCAACCUUCCUCCACCACUCUUUUGAAAAUCUGAUCUACCACAUCUCUGCAGGUUGACUUAACGGAAUAUGUGGAGAAACAUGAAUUCGUUUUUGAUGCUGUGCUGAAUGAAGGUGUUUCAAAUGAUGAAGUGAGUGUGUGACAAGAUUUGGUCCAUAAUUAUAAUGUAAUUCAGUAGAUUUUUAGCAGAUUCUUUUUCAUCCCCGUAGGUGUAUUCUGAGACUGUGGAGCCCAUAGUUCCUCUAAUUUUCAAUAGAACAAAAGCAACCUGCUUUGCAUAUGGACAAACAGGCAAGUACUCUUAUUCUCAAUGAUACUUAACUGUUGGAUACUGACUGACAUGACAAAUUAAUUGUACCUUAGAUUUUCAAGUUACAUUUUUCUAAGUCGUUCUCAUACUUUUGCUGGAAUGGGAACCACACAAUUUUUAUUUGUAGUCUGUGCUGGAAACCUGAAAUGAUCUUUCAUAGUUUUAGACAAUAUGAAACUCUUGACAUUUGGGGUGAUGGUGCCUGUGCAAAGUUCACAUGUUAAAUAUGAGUUAAUCUUUCCUAGAAAAAUGAAGCUAGAAUUGAUAACAAAAAAGAAAAGGUAUCCUUUUGUGGUGGGUUGCGGGGAACCCAUAUUUUUCAUUUAUUUUUUCAGGUGUUCACUUGCUUUCUUUCAGCUUUCUUUGUCUCACUCUUUCUUGUUAUAUUAUUGUGAAUAAGCUUGGGUUGAUCUUAUUUUCCUGUCAGGGAGUGGAAAGACUUACACAAUGCAACCAUUGCCACUAAAAGCUUCCCUAGAUAUAUUGAGACUAAUGCACCAAACAUACAGGAACCAAGGCUUUCAAUUGUCAGUCAGUUUCUUUGAGAUAUAUGGAGGGAAGCUUUUUGAUCUUCUUAAUGAUCGGAAGUGAGUUAAUUAAGUUUGUAGGUUUUGUGUAGGCUAGAAUAUUAUGCUGAUUAGUCUGAUAGAGUUCUAUUUUUGCAGAAAACUUUGCAUGAGGGAGGAUGGGAAACAACAAGUUUGCAUUGUGGGUUUGCAGGAAUACAGAGUUUCAGAUGUUGAGGCAAUCAGGGAAUUCAUUGAGAAAGGAAAUGCCACUAGAAGCACUGGUACAACUGGCGCAAAUGAGGAAUCCUCCCGAUCACAUGCUAUACUUCAACUUGCCAUAAAGAGAUCAGUUGAUGGCUCAGAAACAAAGCCUGCCCGACUUGUAGGAAAGCUGUCUUUCAUUGAUCUGGCUGGGAGUGAGCGGGGUGCAGAUACUACUGAUAAUGAUAAACAAACAAGGUGGGGUAUGAUUGGAUUAUAUUCUUUUUCUGAACCCUCUAUAUUUAUUGUUAUUCCUUUGGACCUUCAGCAUCGCAUUUCACAUGAAUAGUUGGGGGUACUGUGGUGCUUCUAAAUGGUCCAAGCCUGCUUUCAGUGGGUUUAUUUUGGUCUUCAACUUAUACUGAUGUCUCAAAAUCCUUUGGGUUUAACAGAAUAAAUAAUUGCUUUACAUCUUUAUAGAAUGGAAGGUGCUGAAAUCAACAAGAGCUUAUUAGCUUUGAAAGAAUGCAUUAGAGCUCUUGACAGUGACCAGGGUCACAUUCCCUUCAGAGGGAGUAAGCUGACUGAAGUUCUUAGAGAUUCAUUUGUUGGUGACUCUCGUACUGUUAUGAUAUCAUGCAUUUCACCAAGCUCAGGCUCAUGCGAACAUACUCUAAAUACGCUAAGAUAUGCUGAUCGGUACGAGGCUUUGAACGAAGAGUAGUGGGAAUUUAUCAGUAAUUUUACUUGAAAAUUUCUGAUUGAUAUUUGCAUUCCAGGGUCAAGAGUCUUUCUAAAGGAAACAACAAACGUGAUCCGCUGUCUUCUUCAAACCUUAGAGACUCAACUGCAUUGCCUUUGACUUCAGUUUUGCCUAAUGAAACAGCCUUUGACAAUAAUACAACUGAUAUUUCCAAUGGAAAGAACAAAUUUGGAUGGGGAAAACCAAUAGAAACAGAAACAUCACCACCUCUUAAAGUGGAUCGUGUUCCUAGUGGCAGGGCAGAGGAACAUUUGGCUGCAUCUGUAUAUUCAGAUUAUUACAAACGCCCGAUGGGUGGUCAAAGCGGCAUCCCUGAUGAUGAUUUUGAUUACACCAAGGAAGCUUAUGAACAAGAAAAACCAUCAUGGACGAAUAAUAAGAAACUAGAAACCUAUGAAAUUCCAGCUAUGGGGGAUAGGCCGAGAACUAAUGCUCCAGCGAAAUUGAGAGAUAUUCCAGACUUUAUGGCAAAUAAUUCUCAUUCAGAUGAUGAUCUUAAUGCCCUUUUGAAGGUAAUUACAUUCUGGAUAUCUUCUAAUUGGUUUUCUGAUAGGUUCUCUACAUGUACGGAUUAAACUCUGCUAUGGUUUCUUAGGAAGAAGAGGAUCUUAUAUCUGCCCACCGUAAACAAGUGGAGGAUACGAUAAACAUUGUUAGGGAGGUCAGUGACAAUCUCUUUUCAGUUUAUUAGAUUCUUCUGCAACUGUUAGUUUUGGAAUGAUUGCAAUGAUUCAUGCAGGAGAUGAACUUGCUAGCUGAAGCUGAUCAACCAGGCAAUCCGCUGGAUGAUUAUAUCUCUAAGUUAAAUGGAAUUCUUUCACAGAAGGCUGCAGGAAUUCUACAUCUGCAGACUCGUUUGGCUCAAUUUCAGAAACGUCUGAAUGAGCACAGCGUUUUGAUAUCAUCAUAUGGUAAUUGAUUUGAGGCUUGGAGAGGUGUAAAUUUUUGGUGGCAGUUUAUGUGACUCAGAUUCUUCAUCGCGUUGUAACUACGCCUGGUUACAGAGAAAUAAUGCUUUUCGGGGUUGUUGGUUGGAGGAUGGGCCUUUUGUUUCCCUAUUAUUCUACUGUAUGAAGCCAGUCACUAUUCUGAAUUAAAAGAAACCUAUUAUAUAAGCCUCUGUUCGAUGGCUUAUUUUUGGAACAUAUGUAUGCGUUUUUGGUUAAACUAUCUUGUUUGGCUGUUAAUUUAUAACGUAAACGCGGUUAGUAGCUACCUUUGUCAUCUGUUGAUAGUGAAAAUCUCCUGUUUGGAUGUGCACAUAUAAAAUCUGUUAAAUGUCAAUUACAAGUGGUUUGGACAAUGAAUUGAUAGCGAUGCCCUUGUUUGCCUUGACUGGCUCAAAUCUCAAUGUUAGAUUGAUGCUUAUCAUGAAUGGAUAAAGUGGUAACUGGUUUUCUCAGCUUGUACAUUUAUGGAGAUUGUGGAGUUCGUUAAUUUGGGGCAUGAGGAGCUUCAGUCUGGCAGAUGCUUUAUUAUUUCUAGAGAACAACUUGUAAGUUCCACUUCCUUUCUGAAGUUUUUAUCAUUUUUAGUUAUUCCUGAAUAGACAAUAUGCAAGUUCUUGUGAAAUAUUUUAAUUGCUUACUCAAAUACUUGAUUAUUAGCCAAAAUUUUUUUUAUCAUUUUAGUAUUUGCUGGCUGGUCAUUUUGUGUAGAUUUUCUUACUAACCAUUUUAUAAGUGCUGCUUCAACUAAGGAAACAUGCCUUUUCCAUUGACUAUCUGGUAGCAAGUGAAAAGGGCAUAGUUUGUACUUAUCAUUUACAUUGACAAAAUGAGAAAUACACAAUGAAAAAAGAAGCAACAUGGUAAAUAUCCAUUCGUACUGUGAGAAUUAGAAGUCAAGAUAAGGUGCAAUGUGAUUGUCUCGUAGCUCCUUUGAUCUAAUUAGCAACCCAGACGAUGUGGCCUUCUGGUAGGAAGUGACAAAUAGGAACAGUCCCAGGCUCAACCUUAAGAACUUGGAAAGCCAAGUGCAUGGGAUUCCACUUUGAUGUAUCGGUAUGGCAUACAGCAACAGCGCUGACUUGGGUUUUAUCUGCUCCAACCAAUGGAACCAUGUAAGCCUUAGUGUUACAUGUUUUGUGGCAGUAGAAUACAGGGUAAAUGUAGUUUUGGAAAUGACAUGCUACUAUCUUGCUCCCAACUAAUCUAACUUUUCGGAUGAUGCUAAAUUCUUGAUGCUGUGUAUCCUCUUUAUCAACUUGCGUGGCCAAAGCUUGAACAUUUUUUCCAAGCGUCAAAAUCCCAAAAUCCACCAUUGCUUCCAAUGAUGUAGCACAAUACUUGUCCUCGCCCAAUAGUGCUGGCUCCUCGCACUCUUCUAUUGUCUUCCUCAUUAUCUCAGCUUUUGUUGAAUUAGGCUUGAUAGAGAAUUUGUGAAGGACUUCUGAGAACUUGUUUGAGGAGAAUGGUAUCAUCUGAGCAACUUGGCGAGGUAAGAACUUAGUUUUAGCUGCAAAUUUGGUGAAAUAGAGAUUCAUUUUUGUUCCUGGAUGUAGAUCUUUGUAUAGGAAGAACAGAGUCACGUUUCGGUUGGUUAUGAGUUCGUACUCAGAGGCCCCAUAAGUAUACAGGAAUGGUUUUGCAUCUUGGAUGAAUGGUGGCUGGACAUCUACUGAAACUCCUUUGCCCACAUCUACUCCUACGCCACCGAUAUCUAUAGAAAUAGCAUUAUCUUCAAAACUCUUCUGCUCUGUAAGACAAGGUGAACGUUAUAUUUAGUUAGAAAUCAUAAUAUUAGCAUAACAUGUCCAAAAUUUGUAUUCUGGCUCUUAAUUUAAAUCCACUAUUUGUUGGUACAAUUACAAAAGUGGUUUAAAAAAAUUGACAACGGAGAGACGAGUAAUAGCUUUAAGAGUGAUUUCUUCAAAAAGCCAUCUUAGAACUCAGUAGCUCUUGGAAAUCAUUUUGGUUUGAAAUUAGAAACCAUGGAGAAAGGAGAAUAAGAAGAAAGGCUGAGGUCGAAGAGAUGCACCAGAUGGUAGAAGAUCUCGAAGGGCCUUAGGCAUUGGAGUAUUAGGCGACAAUGACUGCCAGUAGACCUCUGGGGUUUGAACCUGAUUUAUAGCUACAGGAAGCUGCAAAUAAUAAUAAUAAUAAAAAAAUAAACAAACUGUUCUAAAACAAUAAACAAACUGCAUUUGCAUAAUAGUGUUACUCACCCAUGUUAAGAUAAGUGUCAGGACAAAAUGAAAUUCCAUUGAAGGAUGAACAGCACUCAAGUGCAAGAAUGAGAAGGAUGAGAACUCACUACUAGCGCAGAGCUAAGUUAACAACUUAAUAUAUAGCGUAUAUAUAGGCGACUGUGAUGAUAGUUUUGAGUAACGUGAUUUUAGUGUGAUGGUUAAUAGAAAAAUAAAAUAAAAUACAGAAUAGACUGAUCAUGAAAAAUAGUUAGUGAUGGUUAUGGUCUAGUUAUACUCUUCAGUAUUGUCAUUUAUGAGUUGACUAUUAUCUGAUAAGAUGAGGAGUUACUUUAGAAUUAUGUGAAGGACCAACCCAUCAUAUUUAUUAGGUUUUGUUCGCGAAGGGAUCUUCAACCGGAUCAAGGUUCCUGAGAUCCUAUUUGGUCCAACUCUAGAAACCCACUAGCAAAAAACUUGGCCCAAAAGAAAAUUUUGCUAUAGGCUAUAGGUGGCCCGACCCAGAGUUGCCCAUCUACUGUCAAUGGCGCGUUUCUCGGAUGAAAUUUUUAUAUAUUCUCGAAAAGAAACGGUAGGCAAGUCAUGUAAUCUAUUACCUAUUAUGGGAGUGUGUUAGUUUAAAACAGAUAAAUGGCUAUACACGGAACAAUUAGGGAUCGAGUUACCUAGAUCGGAUUUAUAAAUCACUUAUGAACCAAAUCAAUUAAUAGAGUAAAAAUUUUAUUGAAAUGAUAGUACCAUUCGCUCAAGAAAAGAAAAAGAUAAAAUGAGAAUAAUAUUUAAGAAAUCUCUAUUUUUAUUGGUUUAGAAAUCUCUGUUUUUAUUUGUUUACAUAAUUUCCUAAUAGAAUUUUUGGUAAAUACCGAAAAUCUUAGAUCAUUUAUGAGUUUUAUGUAUUUAAGUGUAAUAAAUAUGGUUGGUCAGUUGCGACGGAGAUCAGGAUUAGGGCAAGAACUACUUUCUUUUGCAACCACAAGUCGAUAACCUAAGUUUUUUUUUUUUUUUUUUUUUUUUUUUUUUUUUUUUUCUGCUUGUGAUAUACUGUUUUUGCUGACUUAUACUUGGCCUUUCAUUGCUAGCACCUUAUAUAAUUUUGUAGGGUUAACAAAAGUUAACAAAGUGACAAUGUUGGUGACAAAUGAACGUGGAAAGAAUUGCAUUGCUAAAAAUAAUUGGUGAAAUGUCAUUCUCUAAUGCUAUUAUAGAAACACAUACGUAACUCUGCUGACCAUUAACAUCAACUCACUGUGUUUGUUUGAGCUUGACUCGUAUUCUCUAAUUGUGCCACCGCCACCUGUGUCCUAAAGCGGGUCCGACAUAACUUAUAACCUUGUACCCUGAAGACUGAUCUGGACAUCAACAUACCAUUUUUAGCAGCACAAAACACCAAAUAGCCCCCCCAAAAACAAAAUAGGAAAAAGAUAAAAAAAAAAAAAAAAAAAAAAGACAUUCAAGUAAUGAUGUGUCUCAAUUUGACGAUAGCUCUCUCUCUCUGCAGCUAUGUCCAUUAUAUUGGCCACAUAAGUUUAUGAAAUUUUCAUCGACCGUCCACUUGGCCUGGCCUUUUUAAUGUUAAAUCAUCAAUGGACCAAGAGUUUGUACAAAUUAGAAUUUGAUCUUCUUGAAAGGACAAGCACAGUCGUUUUGUCUUUUUUUUUUUUUUUUUUUUUUUUUUUUUUAUAGAAUUUGGACCACUUUGAAUUCUACCCUUUGGACACACCGAACUGGAAAAUCAAUCGAAUUUAUUAUUUUUUAGUAGUCUUUUCUAGUGAAGUGGUCACUUUGGUUUUCAAUUACUGUUUUUCUGGUUGAAAUUCACGUAUUAGAGCGUCAGGAAUAAAACAAAUCAAAAAUUCAAAAAAAUGUUACCUAACAUUUCUAGAUUAUUUAUUUUUUUUAUUAAUGUUAUUUUCUUUAUGAUUAAUGUUUUGAAACUCAUUUUUACUUCCAUAAUUUUAUUAUUACCGGUUGAAGAUUCAACCCCUCCGUUAUUGAAAGAUUUGAAAUAUAACACGCAUUAAUUAUGAUGUAUUGAUCAUUUGUCUUCGAAACUGAUGUCAAAUUGUUAUUGGUCGGAAUUCUAAACCCCAACUUGGCUACUAACUGAUGGAGACUUGCUAUUUGCUACUAACAUUUUAUGUGAUUUGAUUUGUUGGAAUUUGAAUCAUUUUAUCCACUAUGUGUUUCUUUGGCUGAGAAAAGAUAAAUAAAUUAUAAAAAUUGAUAAAUUUUAAUUUAACCGUUAAUGCUAUUAUCUUGAAAUUAUGACUUUUUAUAUUAAUAACAGUUAUUGUAAAAAUACUUUUUAAAUUUAUAAGAAAAGCAAAAAAACAGGAAGCUAAUGUCCUACUUUUUUAUUUCUUUAAUAGAAAAUAUUAGAAAAACAUUUUUCUUUAUUGUUUCAACUCAAAGAAAGUCUGGUGUAUGAUGUAAAAGAUAGAAAAUGAUUAGAAAUUUGACGUCAUAUUAAGAAUUGGAAUCCUCUUUGACUUUUUUUUGAAUGGCAGAUAGCAUAGGAAUAAUACCAAAUAAAGUGGAAUUUAUAUUAUUAUCCACUUAAUUAGCAACCAUUAAACCUUUGUAUUAUUUUUUUUUUUCAUACUUUAUCAAUUACAAAAUCUCUCUCUAAUCGCAUAAACAAUAUAUAAUAAAUUGAUAUUAUAUACUUUUAACUAUAUAAAAGUAAUGACCUGACAUUAAUCGAUACUAAAUUCGAACCUCUGUACUCUUAAUUUUUAAAGUUAUAAAUUAUAAUUUAUGUAUUGGAUUCAUAUAUAUGGGACAAAAGCACAAGUUCAAGAUUAGUUGUAAUAAACUCAAGAAAUGAUCUUCAGUAUACUUCAAGACUUUGGUUAUUUUCACACAUUAUUUCUGUAGUUUUAACCUUUCCUCGUUUUUAUGAUUUUUUUUUUUUUUUUGAAGCAAAAAGAGAAAAAACAUUUGUCCUCUUAUGAUUCUUUAAUUUUUGAUUUUCAAUAAAAACAAAAUCAAAUUAAAGUUCUAUUUACUAACGAAGAUCGAAUAAGGCCCCACAAAUCUGUAUAAAAUCUUGAUUUCUCUUGUCUAUGUGGAUUUGUAUUGGAGUGUGACAUUUCAAGUCGGUAAAUAUAUUAGUUUCUAUUUUUUUUUUAAAUAAAUUUAUUUCAUUUUAUUAUUUCUUAAAUAAUGAAAUGGGAUAUUUUUAGUCAAUUUUUCCAUAGUGAUAUUGAUUAGUAAUUUUGAUUAACGUUUAAUGAUGGACUUUCGAAAGGAUUUGCUUAAUUAACAGUCAAGAAAUCUAAUUACACUUCAUAUGGACCAUUCAAAUUUUCAAUCUUUUUGUUUUUUUUUUUGGAUGAAAGGACAAAGAAGGGUCUGGAUCAAUACCUAGAUAUGGAGGUUUAGACAAAUUUAGGGUUAGGAUAGAACCUAAUUAAUUAAGUUAUAUAAGUAGUUUGAUUAGAUAUAAAACAAUAUUAUAUUCUACCUAAUUAACAACAAGUUUUAAACUUGUAAUGUAAUGUCAAAAAAAAAAAAAAAAAAACUUGUAAUGUGAAUGCAGACAAGGUCAAACACAUUGCUAUAUGGCAAGGGCGCAAGAUAGUGAGCCAAUGAGAGUGAUCAAUAAGAAGGACAAAAGAGGUCAUAUCAAUGUGUACAACCUGCAAAUUAAUGGAUUGUCCCACCAAAAACUUUAGUAUUACUCCCUUAAACUUAUCGAAAACGUUUGUAAUUAAAAUUGAAAUGACUAUGAUUUAAAAUUUUUAAAGAUCAAUUAGAUUAUAUUUGAUUGGCAGUUUAAAUUUUUUAUUUGUAUUAGAAAAUAGUUGGUUUUUAACCAUGUGGUGAUGUGGGUUGGAUUCCCCAGCUUAAGGCCCCAAAUAAUUAUGUGAAUGUUAGAGGAUUUUCUAUAUAUGCCCACCUAAUUAAUUAAACAGCCAUAGUGAUUAUAGAAUUCUAACACUCGCUUAAUAUGGUGAUUAAUGGUUAACUUAAUGGGCAAGAGUGAUUGCAGAAUUGCAAUUUAAAAAUAAUGAAAAAUGGAAAAUAUUGUAAUUGGACAAACUUUUUGUCUAGCAAAAUGGCUGAGUGCGGCUAUGAUUGUGACCAAACCUCUCUAUCACAUUGCAGUAAUUAAGUUUAAGUUUAUUAAAUAAAAUAUUUAUUGUUUAGCAUACAUUAUUGACCGCACUACUGAUUUUUAGGGGAGGUAAUGGAUCUUGAUUUGCUAAAAGAGGAAAUCAAAGAUAUAUAUUCUUUGUUUCAUUUAAUGAAGAUAUUUAUAAAAUGUGAAUUCUUGCAUCAGAAGCUAAAGCAGAAAGUUUGGAAUGGGUAAUGUAUAUUAAAUAAUUAAAAAUAAAGUCCACUAAAAAAAUAUUAAAAUAAAGCAACUUAAAUUUGUACUCAAUGAAUAAAAUAAAUUAACAAAAACAAGAAAAGUAUCCAUUGCCAAUUUAAUAUUCUAAACGAGGGAAUUUUCAAAUAUUUACUUUCUUUAGGUUAGAGAUAUAUUUUUACACAUAAGAUAGUAUCAGUAUUUAAUUUUAACAUUGGAAAAUGAGAAAUACGGAAAUUAGUGAAAACGACAAGUUAUAAUAACAGCCAAUACAAAGGGGACAAGCCGUUGAUUUAGAACAUUAAAAUUUGCUCCCCAAACUGCUAACAGUCCAAAUAGAGAAAAGCUUAAUUAAAAAAACAUUUGGCAGCGACACGUGGCUAUUAGACACGUAGGGACAAUGACUCCAUGCGCCAACGCACAAUCUGCCUUAGCCCAAAAGUAAAGCCAAAACCAAAUCCGAUUCCAAGCUACCGAAUCUAAGCUGUUUUACACUCCCCCCUUUCUAUUUUUAUUUUUUAUAAUUUAUAUACUCCACGCUCCUUGCCAUCGUGUGGGCGUUUAUUUUUGUUUUUUUUUAUUUACUUUUAAAUUUUUAUUACUGCUGUAAGAUAAUAUUUACAUUAAGACAGACUGAGCCCAUUACAAGCACUGUAGAUAAAUUCUUUUUUUCAGGAAAUUAAAUUGAAAAAACAGUGAGACAGAGAUAACAUAUAUGGAGUUCAAAUAUAAGCAAUAUACAUUGGAAAAAAACACCUAUAGUUCCAAAAGAGCGAGCAUUGAUCCCAAACUCAAGUUGCUGACUGCUGAGCCUGUCUGUGUUUCCCCAAUUUGUUGUCAAAAACCGGGACCACGUCCACGUAACACCCUUACCGGUACACGCAUGACACGCGCGUCGAUUGCGAGUUAGAAAACCAUUCCAUCUGAAAAUAUCUAACCAUGAGGGACCACGGACUUGUAACAAAAGAUUAUAAAAGCGGAGGCACGUGGGUCCCAUUCUCGUGACCCAAGAAAUAUCACAAACCAUACGGGUUUGGCUUCCUGCCACGUUAACUCAUCUUACAGUAGGCGCGCGUCCGCUUAUAUAUUGCGGUGCUACCUCAACGACAUUAAAAUAAUAAUAAUAAUAAUAAAAAUAAAAAUAAAGAGCCGGCUGUGAGACGGCCCAACCCAUCCGCACCACCUGCUUCUCCUCCUUCCUCCAUAAGAAGCAGCUUCACUUUCUUUUAGAGGAGAAUUAAAUACAGCCUAGUUUAUGGGAUGGAGUCUAACAACGUCGUAGCACCGUUCGUUAUGAAGACUUAUCAGAUUGUCAAUGAUCCAAAGACGGAUACGAUAAUCAGUUGGGGCAAAGCCAAUAACAGCUUCAUCGUCAUCGACCCGUUAGAUUUCUCACAGAGGAUCUUACCUGCUUAUUUCAAACACAACAACUUCUCUAGCUUCGUUCGUCAAUUAAACACCUAUGUAAGUCCCUCUAAUUAUAAUUAAUUAAUAUAAAUACGCCUAAAAUAUUAUUAAUUAAUAGUGUUUUAACGUUAAUUUUAAUUAUUAACAGGGUUUUAGAAAAGUGGAUCCCGAUAGAUGGGAAUUCGCAAAUGAAUGUUUCUUAAGAGGCCAAAAGCAGUUACUGAAGAAUAUAGUUCGUAGAAAGCAUAGUAAGAGCUCAUUUAUGCAAGGUAAAAUUGAGGACUUUGACAAUGAAGAGUUGGUUAUGGAGAUAGCGAGGUUGAAGCAGGAACAGAAGCUUCUAGAGAAAGAGCUUGAAGGGAUGAACAAACGUUUAGAGGCUACGGAGAGAAGACCUCAACAAAUGAUGGCUUUUCUUAACAAAGUCGUCGAGGACCCUGAUCUUCUUCCUCGCAUGAUGCUCCAGAAGGAACGAACCAGACAAUUAACUGAAAAGAAACGCCGUCUUAUGAUUUCUUCUUCUUCGUCGUCCUCUGGUGGAGCCGCCGUUUCUAGUUCUGUUAAGUCUGAAGAAGAAGAAGAGGAGGGAAACAUAGGGGUAAUAUCGUCACAAGAGAAUAAUAACCUUUGGCAAUCAUCCCCGUCGCCGGAGACAAAUCCUAUAAGAUGGUUAGGAGAAGGAAACUACGGUUGUUUGAUAGAGCCUGGUCUGUUAACGUCGGGUUCUUCAGUAGGUGCAGGGAUUGGGAAUAGUGUGACUGUAGCGGUGUCUCCGCCAGGGAACGGUUUGAUAGUUUAUGGCGGUGAUAGGGUAGGGGAAAUUAGUUAUUUUGCAGGACUGGAGGCGGGGGUGGAUGCAAGACCGCCACCGCCUUAUCCAUUUUCGCUUUUAGGAGGUGGCUUUUAGCUGCUAUUAACAAGAAAUAUCAUCUUGGAUUCUAUAUACCUUCUGUAUUAAUUUUGCUUUUUGGUAUAUUGCCUUUUCUUUAUCCCUUUCUUUGGUUUAAUAAUUCUUGUAAAAAAACAGAAGUAAUUUAAUUUUGUGGUUAAUAUGCUGUUUAUAUUGAUAAUACAUUUCCAACAAAUCUUCUUUUAUAUAUAUACACACAAAUCAUAAAUAUAUAAAUAAAAUUAUUUCGCAAAAAUAUAUAUAUAUUUUUUAUAAGAAAAUUAUGACAUAAUCCUCUUAUUAGAGGGAGGUUGAGAAAUGGUGGUAUAACUAUGAAUGAUCGACAUGUUAUUUUUCUGUAAAAAUGAUCAGACGGCAUUCACUUUUAUGUAUUAAUAACAAAUUACAAGAAGUUGUCUUGUGCAUGAACCUGAACCUGAACCUGACGUUCCUGGAUUCUGAUUCUUUCUUCCUUUUUUUUUUUCUUUCUGCAACCUAUGAAAAGGCGGUUGGACCUUUUUAAUUUUCGGAGUUAUCAAUUUCACAAAGUUGGGGAGCAGACGGAUAAGUUAUCCAUCCAUAAUCCAUUGACACCGCCGCAGCAAUUUGCUAUGCCUCACUUCGCCUUUUACCCAAUUAGAACACGCCACAUGUCAGAGUCUGGCUUAACCCACUGUACUUUGCCCUCCUAAUAUUGGCAAAGUGGCAGUGGAAGUCAAAUAUUUGAGGGAAUCAGAAUUUAAUAAAAAGAAAACGCAGGCAUGUGACUCGCCUCUUUCAGAUCACAUUGGGGCACACUUUCAGAUCAUCAUCAUCAUCAUCACCAAUUAAAAAAAUAAAAAUAAAAAUAAAAAUUUACACGGUUGGAAAAGGCAAACACCCUUUUUUAAUACCUCUCUGUGCUCUUGUCCCACCUGAGCUGGCACUCCUUGUUUUCUUGCUUUCCCAGUUAGCCUUACCCUUCACAGCAAAAUCACGUGCCAUCUGCGUGACAGUUGAGAUGCGAAUUUCCUCUUUAUAGCCUCAUCAUAGACACCACGUGAAGGACAAAGUUAAAACAACACCUAUAUUGUCCAAAUCUGAUUAAUCUAGGAUUCAUGUUAAUGUAAUUAAUUUCAGAAUAGAGUAAGCUUUGUUAUUGUUGGUAAAUAUUGUCCUAUGACUCCACGCGUACAUUUACCAGAAGUUUGAUAUACAGUAGCAGUAAAUUAGUAACAGUACAAGUGACGAGAGGUGAACGUGAGAAGUCGAUCACGUGGGACCCGUAAAGCGACUAAAUCCCGUUUUUGGAAGUUUUAUCGGAGGACGCGUGUCAACCAAGUGGACAUAUUACUAUGUGAUGUGGGGCCAAGCGCUGACAAGGACUAAUUGCGGAGGGAGGCCUGAAGGUGUGGGGACAUGUAAAGGGCAUCUUGUCUUGUGGGGACCAAUCCUCGUCUAGUGAGUCCACGUGGGGAGUGUAAGAGGAGGGAGUGGCACGUGUUAGCAUUCCGAUGCUAUCGCUUUUUAGUGUUCACAUGGAUAUGAGGAAGAGGAGGCCCCCCUCCCAUCAAACUCCAACUCCAACUCCAACUCCAACCCCAACCCAGCCCAGGCCCUGUUGCGGUGCACCUCUGGCACACAAAAUCAUGCUAGGCGUUGAACCCAUUACUUGAGUAGGUCCCACCACGUGUCAACUCUUUUCUUUCUUAAUUCGUUUAUUUUAUUAUUAUCAUUAUUAUUAUUAGAAUAAUAAUCUAACUACAACAACUUGAGACUGAGAUACGUUAUAACCCAACCCAACCCAAAUCCAGUCCAAACAAAAUAUCCUCUAGCUAAAUUCUUAGUAUUUUAAUUUUUAAAUACAAACUGGAAAGGAAGAGGGACACGUGGCCAUUUGAAAGACAAGGAAAGUCACUGUCUAAUGGAGAUGAACCAAUCAGAACCAUUAAUUUAGGUAAAUAAUUGUGGCUUUAUGAUUAUAAAGUGUGGUUAAACCACGGCCACGUAAAAUGAAUCAGGCACGUCACCCUCCGACUGAUAAAAAAAAAUAUUAGAAAUUAGAAUACAUGUGAUGUACAUUAGGACUAAGGCAAUGGUGUAACUUUAUGAUCCACUGAUUAUAGGAUAGGACCCAUUAACUGAAAAUGAAUAAAUAAAUAAACAAAUAAAAAAAUAGUGGAGUUUGUGUCCCACAGCUGAGAUGAUAAGUAAUCGCUCUAAUAUUACUCGCAAUUUUCGCACGCUUGGUUUAUUUAUUCUUAAGCUGCUUCAAACCGGCAUGCAAAUCAUACAUACAAUUAUUGACCGCAAAAGAAAAUGAGUGACUGUUCGCGCGGCUGACUCACAGCUUGAAUUGUCAUUUACGGUCUAAUACACCAUCUGUAAAACUGAACGAAUUUAAUAAAUAUUAAAUUCUUGUAAUUUUCUAGAAUUUGAAGAAUUAUAUUAUAUCAUGCAAUUUAAACAAUUUGCUUAUUGCGAAGCCAACAAUUUUGAAUUCAGAAUUGUUAUGAUGACAAUCCCACAAAAUAUGGAUGAAGAAAUGGAAAGUCUUUCCCAUGAAACGCUUAAUCAAACACAUGCUUCGAAAAUUCCUACCUUGAAAUAUUGACUGAUAACAUUUGAAGACCCUUUACCAUUGAUUUUUUGUUAAGCCGCCUAACAAUCAUUAGACUUGAAAUCUUGAAUUAAUUUGAUAUAGACCAUAUAAAAAAAAAAAAAAAAAAAAAGUUUGGAAAUUACCUUCUUUUCGAAAAAAACAAAAAAAAAGAAAAAAGAAAAACACUAACGACGUUAAUAAUAGCAGGAUUUCGGCUCAAAAGCCGAUACGACGUCCAUUGGGCUAAGCAUCAGAAGCCCAAUAUGUGCAAGGUUUUGGGUUUCUUGUAGUGGACCUAAUGUAUACUUAACCGAGCAAUUGGGUUUGCAUAGGGGUGUUUUAUUGCUUUCGGACUUCGAUGAAGCCCAGCCCAUAUUGUAUAGAUUUUGAUAACUGAGGAGACCUAAAAUUUUGUCAUGUCAAACUAAACUGUACCAAAGGAUCAGUAUUUGUCACAAAAAACUAAAAGAUCCUGGCCAUUAAUCCCACUUUUGCCUAACAAGUAACCACCCAACUAAAGUAGUAGGCCGAGCAAUGCCUUUUCAUACUGUCUCAUAAAUACAAAAUUUAUAAAUUAGGUAAUGGAGCCUUUAUUAUUAUUAUUAUUAUUAUUAUUUUUUCAAUACUUUAUUAUUAUGCUUUUGAAGUUGGGCUAUAAUCAGAUUUUGCUAAGAAAUAAUAAGGCCCACCAACUAACAUUUGAAGUCCCAACAUCCCUUCCUAAAGCUACUAAUUAAGCCAUAAAAAAGUCUGCAUUGACACUGCAAAAAACCUUAAACUCCCAUCUUAGUAUCGUGAUUAAUUAUAAUUAGAAACAAACCUACUUAGCUUAGCUUAGGUAUAUAGGCCGGCCUUUACCAUGGGAAUUGAAGCAACCUUGUAAAGGCUGUAUAACAUUUUGGGAUCCACGUAUAUAUAAAUGCUUGUCUUAUGUUUCGUGUAUUUAUACUUAGGGUUAGGAUAAAAAAUUUUAAAACGCCUAAAACAAACUUUAUGCCAUUCUCGAAUUGAUUUUGCCAAUAAUAUAUAAAUUGUUUUUUCUUUUUCAUUUUUGGAAAAAUAUUCUUGAUUUCAGUGUCUUUUUUUUUUUUUUUUUUUUUUGUGAUGCUUUUGUUUAUUUAUAUAUUUAUUGUAGUUGUUGGCUGAAUUAUAGCAAAAAUAUUCCUUUUAUUACUCAAAAUUUAGAUAAAUUGUAAGUAAAAAGAAAAAUCAGAUUCAGAUGUACUUGGUUUCUGUAAUUAGUUGACGGAGUAAUAUUUCCAAUGUGAAAGAAAAAAGAAAAACCCAAUAGGAAUUAAUCAAACUGAUUUAGUCAAUCUUAAUUUGAUUUUGAGAUGCCCAAUGAUUUCUUUGUUUUUCUUUUAACGAAAUUUCUAACUGUUUAAUAUUAUCCACUAUUAGUAACUACUAACUAACGAAUCGCUGACUCUGAUUUUAAUAUAUUCAAAUUUAUAAAAAAGAACAUUUAAAUUUGAGCUUUCAAAUAUAUGUGUUUAAAUUUAAAAUUUCUCACAUUUGAUUGUUAAAAAUUUAAAUAAAAACAUCAAAAAUAUAUUUCUUCAAUUAGUAAAAUUGAAAUUGGAGAAAUGAUGGUUAUCUUAUAAAAUGAUUAGAGUAGGCUAAUUGGGUAGGUUUGAUUAUUAGUCUUCUUUAAUAAUUUGGAAUUGAACGAGUGGUUAACUUAGUAGACGUAAAGAGUAAGAACAUGCAUGGCAUAUAUAUAUGUGUUUGUAUUGGAAAUGCCAAAUGGAAUAGAAAACUGAAAAGGAAAAGACAGCAAACAUUCUUUUUAUUGCACGCUUCAAAUGAAGCUCCAGAAAGAAUCUUCCGAAGCAACUCUUUUUUUGAUGAAGAGGAAUAUAUAUAAAAGGAAGAGAAGGUGUGGAUGGGGAAGAAAGAAAUUGUCCAAAGUCUUGGUGGGAGAGAAUGUUCUUUGAUUCCGCAUGAUAACAAACAAUAAUAGUGGGAUGAUUCAUGGAUUUGAUUCAACUACCGUACUUUGAUUCCCAUUUACUAUCCCAUUUCAGAAAAAUUUAUAUCAUUUAACUCUCCAACUUUAACAAUUCUGAGAUAUGAUUUUUCCAAUUUCAGAUUAUAUCUUUCUAACUUGAAUUACAGCUAUGCAAGUAGCCGUUUCAUGAUUCUAAUUUAAUUCUAUUUUUCUUUGUAUAAGAUUUUGGCUUCCUUCCUGAACAUGACAUACAAUUUCGUACUCAUGAUUUACCAAUUAAUAUAACAACACAUUGGUCUCACUCUAUAAGUAGUCCAUGAACCCCAUUUAGUAACUGGAAAGGUUUGGUCCAAAGCAGCAUCAUGACUACCUUGCGAUGUACUUCAAAUCAGAUGGUUAGGAACUGUCAAUUGGUAACCAUUCACAGUUCUAGUUUCCAAUUCCUUGGCUCCCUACGUAGAUUCUCCAUUUAACAUGAUCACCGUAAUUAAAAUGUUAUUAGAAAAAGAAAAAAAGAAAAUGUAUAGUCAAGAUCUAUUUGGAAAAAUUAGUUAUUUGCUAACUGUCAGUUGUUUUAGUUGUUUAAUUGUUAGUUGUUUUAAUGAUUAAAAUGUUAAUUUUAAUCAUGUUUCAAUUAAAUGUAAAAAAAAUAAUUAUGUGAGAUGAAUGUGAACUUUAUACGCUUUGUAAUUUAUUAUUAUUAUUAUACCAUGAUCCACGUUUAUAGUUUUUCGAUUCAGUUGAUACAGGUAUACUCUAACCACUUAUUCGUCUAGAUGUCAUCUUGCCAUCUAAUAUGUUCUUUCCAAUUGGAUAAUAUCACACAAACAUAUACAUAAUAUAAUUUAUAUAUUAAAAUAUAAUUUUUGCAUAUUUCCACGAAUGCCAUCAACGAGCAGGCUACUUUGUCCUCGACGCCUAGUGAAGCAGAGAGUUUCUUUUCCCUCAUAUUUCUUUUUUUUUUUUUUUAUUUAAAAGUUGGUUAAUGGAAGUUAGUUACUCACACUAACGUAGGUAGAAAAAUAUUAUAUAUAUAAGCAGAGAGAAAUUGAGACCACUGACCAUUUCUUAUAUAUAUAAAUUCAGUAUUCUGAAUCACACCCUUGAAAAGUGUUGGUUUUAGCUCCGCAGGUGUCGGCCUUCAUUUUCUCCUCUAUUGAACAAAAACUAGAAGAUCCAUGGAGAUUAGACCCUCUCAAAAUUAAUUAUCCAUAGUUCCACAAAUCCAGGAAUUCCAAAUCUCUCUUUUGGAUAAGAAGAAGAUCAAAUUUCUCUCUUUCUCUGUCCCAAAUCCAUCUGUAUUUAAACAGCUCUCCUGAUGAGUUCUAUUUUGUGUCAAAAAGGGAUUCCUUCAGUUUCCUGUUCCGCAUCAACUUCUACAUAGUUAAUUUACUUAGCUAUAUCUUUUGUUUUGCCUUAUGGACUAUUACUUGAAAGAAGUGGAAGGCAAAAGAGUCCAUGACCCCUUCAACAAGAAAAUGGCCAUAUCACCAAGUAGGUGUAUAUGGGUACCAGGAGCUCUUAUUGUUGGUGCUGGUCCUUCAGGUUUAGCUACUGCUGCAUGUCUUAAAGAAAGAGGUGUUCCUAGUUUAAUUCUUGAAAGGGCUAAUUGCAUAGCUUCUCUAUGGCAACUCAAAACUUAUGAUCGUCUUCGUCUUCAUCUUCCUAAACACUUCUGUGAGCUUCCUCUUUUGCCUUUCCCAUCAAAUUUCCCUACCUACCCUACAAAACAACAGUUUGUGGGUUACUUGGAAUCCUACACCAAAUUUUUUGGUCUCGAACCAGUCUUUAAUAACACAGUUGUCAGUGCAGAAUUUGAUAGUCGAUGUGGGCUUUGGAAGGUUAAGUCGUCUGGGCUUAAAGAGGAAGAAUCUGAAUAUGUAUGCCAAUGGUUAAUCGUUGCCACCGGAGAAAAUGCGGAUGAGGUUGUGCCUGAUAUUGAAGGAAUGGCUGAUUUUCAAGGACUUAUAAUGCAUACAAGUUCCUAUAGGAGUGGCGAAGUCUUUAGAGGAAAGACUGCUUUGGUUGUUGGAUGUGGCAAUUCCGGUAUGGAGGUCUGUUUAGAUCUCUGCAACUACAAUGCUUACCCUUCCAUUGUUGUUAGAGACUCGGUGAGCAUCCUUUAAUUUUCUUUUUCCCUCUCUUCCUUUCUUUCUUUCUUUCAUUCUCAAGCAGUCAAUUUUUUGCUUUUAUUUUAACAUAUGCUUAAUUUAGAAAAGACAAAAUCAAAGAAAGUUUUCAUUUUUAUUAUACUGUUAUUGUUUUAAUAUGUUUGUAAAAUAUCUUUAUUAUUUUACUAUUCUUUGCCACAUAAACAUAAGCUAUUAUAUUUGUUGAGAAUAUGUUCUGCAACAAUACAGACAAAGCAACUGUGCGACUCUUUUAUGCCACUUUUUCACCCCACUUGAGGGAGUUCGGAAAUUACUUGUUGCAGACUCAACUGUAUAAUAUUGUAAGGUUUUGUUUUCUUUUGUUGACUUUAGCUGCGGUAACAGUUUAUAUUAAUCUCUUGGUGAAUAGAUUUCUGGAUUUUUUUUUUUGAAUGAAACAUCACGUAGUUUAUUGGUAAGUCAGAAGUAAACCCCAAUUGUCCUUUUUCUUUAAAAAAUUUUCGCUAUAAUGAUACAAACUAAUAAAUAAAUAAAUAAAAUCUUUGAAUUUGAUGUAUCACUUUCUUGGAAUUUGUUUGCAUGCGUAGCCAUAGUCAGCAUUCCAAAAACUCGUAUGUCUUAAUUCUUUUUGGGAUUCUACUCUGCACAGUAUUGCAGAUUCUAAAGUAUAUAUGGAAAAUAAGCGUAGAAAUGGUACAUAUCCUGAAAGUUGCAAAUUCACACAUUAGUCGGUGACAUGCGUGGGGGACUCAUUAGCUUAUCUAACCCACUCCUUCGAAACUUUUCAAGUAACUUUUUUCUUUCCUUUGGGGGUUUUUUUUUGCAGGUGCAUGUCCUGCCACAACAGAUGCUCGGAAGAUCAACUUUUGGAUUAUCCAUGUGGCUGCUAAAGUGGUUUCCUUUGAAGCUUGUGGAUCAAAUUCUGUUGUUUCUUUCAUAUUUCUUGCUUGGUGAUACUUCUAAACUUGGCAUUCAUCGCCCUAAACUUGGCCCCCUCCAACUCAAAAAUACCGCUGGAAAAACUCCUGUUUUAGAUGUUGGAACUCUCGCUAAGAUCAGAACUGGAGAGAUUAAGGUUAACUUUUUUUCUAUUGAGAUCAAAUAACAUUCAUAAAUGUUGUUUAUAAUUUAUUAUUUUAUAAUUAAUUGUAGGUUUUCCCAGAAAUAAAGAGAGUAAUGCGUGGUUCUGUGGAGUUUGUCGAUGGAAGGAUUCAAGAUUUUGAUGCUAUUAUUCUAGCCACAGGUUACAAAAGUAAUGUGCCUUACUGGUUGAAGGUUAGUUUAUUGAAUCUUUAACAUGAAAGAAGAAUGAUUCUGUUAAUGCAGAAUUAAAGUUUUUUUUUUUUUUUUUGAAAAAAAAGAUGAUCAUCAUGAAUUUUUGCGCUCAGGAGAACAAAAUGUUUUCAAAGAAAGAUGGAAUGCCCCACAAUUCAUUCCCAAAUGGAUGGAAAGGUGAAAAUGGACUGUAUGCAGUAGGCUUUACGAAGCGUGGCCUGCUUGGCGCAUCUAUUGAUGCAAGAAGAGUCGCACAAGACAUUGAGCUUCGCUGGAAAGCUGAAGCUACAAGUUUCAUGGCCAGUGCCCGUGCAUUGCCUCAGCAAUCAUGACUCCAGGGAAACAAAAACCAAAAAAAAAAAAAAAAAAAAAGAAAAAGAAAAAAAUUCCUCUCUCUUGAGUGAAGAUCCAAGCAUGCAGGAAAUAAUAGAACGAGAAAGGACAAGUUGUCUUUUUAACUUUUCGUAUGCACAGAAGCAAGCUAGGAAUGCUACAGAAAAAUUAAAGAUGGGUUUUGGGGGGGGGUGGGUUGAGAUUAUUAUUGGUUUUUUGAGGCAGGAGAAAAUUCUCAACGUGUGUACAUAGCUUGUGCUUUUCUUAAGAAACAAUUUUUUAUAUUCGCUAGUUUUCUGUUAUUAGUUUGGUAAAUAUUUAUAACAAGGGAAGGUUUGGUUUUGCAAUUAAUUUCAUAACAUGUUUCAAAGGGUAGGAGACUAGAAGCGGUGAGUUAAGUAUACUUAAUCAAUUAAUUAGCAACAUUUCCAAUUGGAUUUGAGAUUUUAUGUUAAAAAAAAUAAAGUAAGAUGGUUUCCAUCAGCAUAAGCUCUCAAGUCUCUACAUAGAAAUUGGUUUAUUUAAUUAAUAUUGGAUGGUAAAGCUAAGAAUAGACCACAAAUUUUGAGUUCUCAUUUAUUUUGGAUACCACAUGCAUAUAAAAUUUGAUUUAUUUUGAUCUGAAAAAAGAAGAGAUACCCAUCAAGGGUUCAUAUAUAUAUAUAAAUAGAAAGAGAGAACAUUCAACUGAUCAUCAUCUUGGGACCAUUUUAUAUCUCCUUUUGUAGAAAACAAAAGGCAAAAGUGAUUAUAAAAGAAAAGGGAAAAGAGAGGAAGAAAAAUUAAAUUGGAAAAGAAGAAAAAGAUCAUUUUGGUCGUGUAAAGGUCUUCUGCAGAAGCAAAUAUUAAGUGGCCCUCAGGUUCUCUUCUGUAUCUUUGUGUAUGAUCAACUUUCACUAUACAUAUUUAUUCACUUAAAAAAGUCAUAUAUUGGAUUAAUACUUAUCCUGGUUUGCCUUAUUGCUUGGCCUUUCUAUCCUCAUCAAAAAAAAUUGGACCACCAUCAUAUAAUCUGUGCUGAGUCCAGACAAUUAUCUCUAUGAUCAUAACUUCAUCAUCGUCAAUGCUUAAAAUGCUAAAUGGGGUAUGACAGUGCUCAAGACAAUUUGUCAAUGAAGAUUUAGGUAAAAUAGUAUGACACUUCUUUCCACUUUGAUGUUACACAACAAUCAACCUUUUCAGUCAAAUUAAAUUACAUUAAUUCAUUGCUUACAAAAAAACAAUCAGAUUAAAAUAAUUAUAGAAAAUAUUUCUUGAAAUCAAGACUUUUGUACAUAAAAUGCUAAAAUGAUUGGAAAAUUAUUGUACAUAUGAUUUGAAAGUUAUUGAAAAGAAAUUUGAAAAUGACAGUCCAUUCUUGGACACUGAUUUGUAUUCAGUCCUUAUUAUACACAUCUUAAUACAUAUCUAUACAGGUCAUACCGAAGAAAGAAAAAAGAAAAGAGAAAAAAGAAAAGAGAAAAAAGAAAAGAGAAGAAGAAGAAAAUGUUAAGUUUCGAUAGAUAAUUUUUGUCCUACUCUACCCCAGUCCAAUCGAAGCCUGCUCUUAAAACAGGCACCGUUUCUAGUUUUUCUUUAAAAGACGGCCAAGCUUAUCAAAAUUUCGCCACACAAAAUUGAUUAUAUAAAUACUGAUGAAUCAAGCAAGGUAAAAAAGAAACUUCAUGUGACAGUUAGAUUAUUAAGAGAGGGUAAAGUGUGGAAGGAUGUGGACAUGACAAUAAUGGAGUUGCAUCAGAGUACAGUAGUUAGGGUUUCAUAAUUUGUUGUUGGUGGGUUAUAUUCCGACCGACUGAAGUUGAUGAGCAUAUUCAUACAGUCGAAUCUUGUUGGGUUGAUUCACUAUAAGACACAUUAGCUAGUUAGCUAGCUACUCUCAACGUCAAAGGUUAGUUGUUAACCCGUAAAAUCUUGUAUUUUGUAUCUUGUUUUGGACCAGAAGGGCAUGCCCUACUAAUUAUUGUGUGGCCCAAUUAAUUCUUUGAUAAUGCUUUGGAUUGCAGACUUUCUUCUUCUUCUUUAAUCUAUGCUUAAGGGUCUACGGAUUAUCUUGUGCUAAGUUAAGUUUAUUUCCUUUCUUUUGGCUUUGUUGCAACUUGCUUUGCACAUUCUCCCACAAACAAACAUCAUCAUAUUCAUGUUUUCUCUUUUUCCAUUAUUCAAAUUCCACUAUAAAUAAAAGAUCAAAUAUAAUCAUAUAAAUAUAUAUCGGAUUGGCAUUUACAUUAUGUCAAUCCAAUGCUCUCCCACUAAGACUCAAAGCUGUCGUUUUUUCAAUAAAAAUUAAAUGUCAGUAGCCAAGUUAGAUAGAUAAAUGACAGUGUUUUUCUUCAGCCGACAGCAACUAGUUGCAAAUUCCUGUUUCACACAAGGCAAAAAGUACUAUAAGCAGUUUUCAGCGAAGGAAACUUAAAGGAAGGAAGGAAGGAAGGAAGGAGAAGUUGCCCUACAAAGUCGUAUGCAUGGUCCAGAGGCACGUGAUAGCCAUGCAGACAUUUGGCACUGAGUCACACCGCCGGGGCUGCUUUCUCUGCUACAGCUACGCAUAAUGCACAUGUGUACUCGUGGAUUUGGACCAUCCAUUUGAUUUUGAUCCAUUUACUGCUCUUUAUUGUCAGUGGUCCUUUAUUAAUCUAUGGUAGUAAACUGUCUUCAUCCUUCUAUUUUUCCCAUGGACCAUUUCCCAUUAUUAACACUUAAAACGCGUUAUGGUCUUUGAGUUAGACUUAGAUUGUUAUGUUUUCUUCUUUUUUGUUUUCUGAUAGAGAAUGACUUAUGUACAGUUGGUUUAAAUACAUAAUGCUCUAUUUCUUUUACUUUUAGGCCAUAAUUUAUUAUAUGUAUUCAGUGUUAAAUGCUCAUUUCUAUAAUAUAAAAAUUUUUAGAGUUAAUAUUCUUGAUUUAUCCUUAUUAAUCCUUGAAUUCAAAAUUUCAUUUAUCAUAGAAGCUGAUAGAAUGAAAGAGAAGAAUAUGACAUCUCGCUGAAUUAAUGGUAGUUAUAGCUAACUUGUAUAAUCUUUUAAUGGUAAUUUAUAUGAUAAUUUCCUUUUUAAAUUAUAGCAUCCACUCUAUUAUUAAUUUUUUAAAAUUUUUAUGUGUGAUAUAAGUUACUUGGAUUGAAAAAUCAAUGUUUAAAGAUUAGUACUAACUAAUUAAUUAGCUUUAUGGAUGUGAUGUUUAUUCAAUGGGUGAUGAACAGCUAAGUUAUGCAUAGACAGCAUGGAAAAAUAACGAGUGAUAGAAAGAAAUGGAAAUAAAUUGAUAAUUGUUUACGAUAUUUGCUAUAUGCAAAUAAUAGAAAGUAAACGUGGUUAAAGACUUAAAGGGCUAGGCUUUGGAGAUAGAAUCAAAAAAAAAGGUUAUCCUUCGAGUGUAAAGAGUUGGCUUUAUUACGUACAUGAAAAGAGCAAGACAGGCAGGCGCGCGACUGUGAAUGGGAGAAGACUACUGCAUAGAUUUUAUUUAUUGUUGUAACGAAGGAAAGCAAUUUUGGUAUUGACCAAACAAUAUUCUAAAAUUUAUUGGAUUAAAACUAAAUCAUGCAUACUCCUGUGUUAAUUAACCAAAGAGUAAAAUGCGAAUCAAUAUCAAUCAGGUAUUAUAUGAUUUGAUAUGAGAAAUGAGAAGUCUUGACUAACCAAAGGAUAAAAUGCGAAUCAAUGUCAAUUAAAUAUUAUAUGAUUUGAUAUGAGAAAUGAGAAGUUUUUUGUUUCAAUUAUCUUGAUUAUAAAAAAUUUUCACCAAUUUUGGUGAAUAAAAAGAAAACAUUACUUCUAUUGUGUACUUUAUCGUAUAUUUUGGUCUAUUUUCCUCCCGAUAAACAUCAUAAGUGAAAAAAAGGCAAUUUUGAUAUGCAUAAUCAACGCUUUUCUUUGCCCUUUCUUCAACAUGGUAUGCUAUUUAGGACCACCAUUUGCAACUUGCAUCUUCAAUCAUUAGACCAUCCCUAGUUCCAUAUGUCAUAGCUAAGAAUUAAAUCUGGAAGAGAGUACCAAUUUCUCGAAUUUCUGACUUUCUACGCUUUGAGUGAUACAUACAGUAGUCGAAUGACAUGUAUUGUCCUAUUCUAAAGUGAUGGAAUACUCUGAAGUGUAUAUAUAGAUUUUUAUUAUUAUUGCAGUCACUCUCUUAUCUCACUUAAUUAAUUAGAGAAACAUCAGUUCAACAAACAUUCACCAUGAUUAAAUGAUUUGAGAACGAUUCUUUGCUACCUAAAUCUUGGAAUAUUGUGAUUGAUUGCUUCUAGAACUGUACAUCAUCUUCGUGUCUUUUCAAAAUUUCCUGUGGGGAAAAGAUAAACAAAGUUAUAUUUUACACUUGAAAAAUGCACUUAUUAGGGUGAAAACUGAAAAGGGUAAAUAAUAUAUUAUUAUUGCUAAAUCGACAGGUUAGAAAAAUUAUAUGCUACGUGAAAAUCAAGUUGGAAGUCCUAUUGCAUUAAAGUGAAAAAAGAGAGCUCCAUCAAUGAUUUGAGGAUGAGAUAGAUAAAUCGUAGCCACCAAAAGAAUUGUUGAAGCGAAGAAAGGUUUGUAUCCCCAAGAGAGCUAAGCAAAAAAGAUGCAUCUUUUUUAUCUCCCUUUUGAUAGUGUAAGGAGAUACGACUGCAUAAAGAGCAGAUUCCAUUACUCUACUCCACAUGGACAUUGUGGCUUUUGUAGUGGAAUUUGUCUCCUUUCUCUGUUGGAAUCUCAAUGGAUACUAGAAGAAUCUUCCCUAGUUUCAAAACAGAAUGUACAAAUUCUAGCUAUACCUACUAAAAACAAAAUCGUCAAUAGUCAACGUCUACAUAUAUUAGAUUCCAUGUUGUAAUAAUAACACAGUAUGUGUGAGUCGUUGGCUCUGUUGGCAGAAUACAGGAAUCUGGGUAAUGGGAUCCACGCUCCACACCAGGUUUAGUGGUACUGGAGAGUGCACUAUAGAUUCUUUCUGUAUUUACAUUCCUCUUUGCAGGAAGAGAGCGUCUUUGUUUUUAUUUAGUUUUAGGUUGUUAGAGUGAAGGGAUAUAAGAAAUCCAUUUGUUUCAAUCUAAAAACCUUGAAUCUAUAAGAUUCCCUCAAUCUAGAGGAUAUACGUUGAAACGGGGAAGGAUUCCAUUUUUAUAUAUUAAAUCAAUUAAAAACAGUUUUUUUUUUCAUUGCAAACGAGAGGUAUUUGUGACUGUUCAUAGGGGAAAAAAAAAAAAACAGAAACCGUAUUUUAAAGAACUUUUUUUUGAUUGGGUCGCGUGUGAUGUUUUUAUACACUACGUGUAGACAAAGCAAAACAAUUGGCCUACACAAGCGGUGAGGAUACAACAUGUUGGCCCAAAAAUAAGAUGAAAAUGGGCUGUUCAAAUUAUAUAGUCCAAACUAACUUGGAUUUACCGUUUUGGACCUUUGUUUAGCUUUGAAACCAAUAUGUUAUAGAAAGAAAGUUUAUGGGCCUCCAAUUGGCCCAAUAAGUUGAACCUUAACCCUCCUGAAAUUAUGAAUGCAUACACAAUUAUUAAAAAAGAAAAAAAACACAAAUAUAUAAAUGAAAGUUGAAAGUGUUACUGAAAAAAAAAAAAUAUUUAUCACAAAAUAAUUAUCUCAAAUUAUAUCCAUAAUCAAAUCCUACACCAAAUUAGAGGAAGGAAAAAUUGAAAAUACACAAUAGAAACAUCGUAGUUAAUCAAAGUCAGAACUGCAAGCUUCUAGCGCUUAACAUUUAAUGCUUGAAUUCUUUAAAAAAAAAAAAAAAAAACACUUAAUACUUGAAAUACUCUAAACAUUGUCUUUUCAUGUUCUUCAUCUCAAACUCAUUAGUAUCACAAAACUCAGAGAAUUGAGGAACUUGCAUUUGAGAAGAAACAUUAGGCAUGAUUGAGCCUUGUCCAGAACCUAACAGAGACAACUGCCUCAUUUCCCCGCAAUAGCUUACUGGAUGAGGGAUCCCACCAUUAUGAUUAUUCAAUAUCACCAUAUUACCUGCCGUCUGAUCAGCUUCUUGAGCUCCAAAUUGACUCAAAUCUGUACCGUUGGCUUUCAUCAUCAUCAUCAUCAUCAUAGGACUAUUAAGAGGAUUAACAUUAAAAGGAAGCACCUGAUGAUGAUCAAAUGGCUGCUGUAAUUCUGUACACUUUUGUUGCAAGGCAUUAGCGAAGGUAGAAGCCAUUGAAUUGUAUCUAUUAUUAAUAUUAUUAUUGCUCGAGCUUCCUUGAAUAAUAUUAACUGACUUGGAAUCUUCACCGAUCAUCAAAUAAUUGUCACCUUUUAUCUUCAAAAUCCUACUCAUUGCAGUUUCAAGCUUAGACUGUAAAACAGUAUGCAAUAAACAGAGUUCUUCAAGUUCCGAUGAGUUUAAACGAUUAUCCCAAGUAGGAAACUUGGCUUCCAAACAGGCCCUAUGCAUUUUAGUAAUCUCAUCGUCCAAUUUUCUCUUGCGAGUCUCAAAAAAAUGCGACAAAUCUUGACUUUUCUUGCGGUCAUUGCCAUGUGAUUUGUAACGGUCUAUAAUUUUCUUGAUUUCGGAGUGAUCGGUCGGGCAGGUAUCGACGUCAAUGGGACGGUUACUGAAUUUCGGACCAAAGAUUAUCACACAAGCAUCUACGUCGCAGAGAACUCGAAACUCGUGCAGUUUCUUUGUCAAACCUUUCUUUCUUUUCUGAUAUGUCACCAUGCGAGACCUCUCGUUGGUAAUUAGUUUCAUGCUCAGCUUUCCACGUCCCAUCUCUUCGAUCUACAUUUAAAAAAAAAAAAAGAACUGAAAUUAUCAGAAAAUUAAUAUUUAAAGUAUCCUAUAAAACAAAUUGCAACUAACAAAUGGAGAAAUUAAUUACAAAAACACUUUCUGCCAUGAGCUCGAAAUGAAAUUAGUUUCAUUUCCCAAAAAGGAUAUAGAUAUACUCGGAAAACAAAAUGAAAAAAAUACCAAAAAAAAUUUGAUAAAUUAGAAGACAUUUUAGACUUGAAUGGCUAUGUUUUUGCAUAAAGGGAAACACAAUGGAGAAGGUGUUGGUAUAAUAAGAGAGAAACCUGGUUUUAAAAGCCUUUGAUCUAACUACAGCAAGCCAAGAAUGGAGAUUUUUCAUUUUUUUUUUUUUCCAUAGAGCUUUAUAAAGGGAAAACUGUGUUGCUUCAUAAUAAAGAAUAUUACUAUUAUGGAAAAUGAAUCAUCAUCCGCUGAUUUUUGCAUAAAAAAAUUAGGAAUUUAAUUUGUAUAGCAAUGCCCAACAGGCGGAUUUUUCCAUUUUGCUAUCUUGCAGGCCGACAGAACAUUGCUAAUACCAUAUUACUAUAUUUGGAAUCCCAUCACUCACUCUAAAUAGGAAAUACAUUUAUUACUAUCUCUUAUUUAUUUAAAAAAUCAUUAAAAUGAAAGACAUUUUAUAUAUAUGGAAACAAAAAUCUUUCCAAGCUGGAUUUCAAUUUUCAUUUCAACUGAUUCAUUUUUGCAUCAAAUAUUUUCCUUAUCAUUUAUAUUAUGGACCAGAUCAUCUUGAUUAAAAAAAAAAAAAAAAAGUUUUAACUAAGCAUUAGUUGGGCUGGGCUUCAUCGCCGUAUUGUUAGUUUGGGUUGAGAGGAUUUCUUUAUAGUCUAUGACUUAGUAACCAAAGUUGGGCCUAGAUGAAUUAGUUUGCAUGAUCUGAUCCAGAUAAUUUAUUUUAAAGAAAAAUUCACAUUCAGAAUUUUUUUUUUAAUAAUAAUAACAAUUUAAUAAUCAGAUUAAUGAGUGAAUAUAAACUUUCUUUCAUGAUUUUUUCUGGCUUUGAUUCAAUCAAUUUCUGCUUCAAGAUGAGAAGAAAUAAUAGUAAAAGCUUUAAUUGAAUCUUCUUUGCUGUCUUAAUUACCUUUUUUUUCGCAGAAUAAUUGUGCAUCUUAUCAAAUAUGUCCUAUUAAAUGCAUUAUCCGAGAGAAUUAAAAUGGAAAUUGAUAAUUAGAAACUGAUUACACAAAACAUAACCAGAGACAUAAAAUCUAUAAAUCAAAAAAGAAUAUAAACAAAAAAUAAUAAAAAGACAACCUGAAACAUUGUCAGAAAUUCUCCAUCUUCAUCAAAUCUCCUUUAGGAGGAGAAAAUUAAGCCUAUAGUCUAAUGGAAGAUAGACUAUUUGGCUUUGAAUUGACACUGCGAGGAGUUCCAGCUGGUUGAACAAAAAUUUCUGCAUACAUUUCCAUGAAGAAAUUGUCAACAAUGUCCAGAUAAGCAGGGCAUGUUAAACGAGAAUAAUAAUGGAGAAUCUCUUCUAUGUCUAGAACAUGAUCCACAUUACUAACAUCCAUCAUUUCUAGCUCCCUUAGCUUCUGCGCCACCAAAAAGCUCCUUCCGUCAUCUUUUACGCUAUAAUUUGAACUAUUCUCCACCAAUCUUUUCCCUCUUUGGAAACCCUUGCCCUUGUUAUUACUAAUAUACGUUUUAACAGGACUCUUCUUCGAGAAUUUCAUGAAACUUCCAUUUAGACCAUCACUUUUUUCUUGCUUGGCUGGUGAUGACGGUCGCGGUUGUUCUAUCUUCUUCUUGUUUCCUUUAUUCAUUUCCUUUCCUUUAUCAGUAUCCCACCUGUCGCUGAAGUCAGUGUAGAAGUUGUCCAAAUCAUUUUUAUUGAAUCUUGUUUGGACAUUAGAGUACGGAUUGUAUGGAGAUAAGGUUUUGGGCAUUUUUUCGUAAGAAGAACCAGAAAAGAAAGACUUGAAGCUUUGUAAGGUUUUCUGGAAGAAUUUCUUGGUGUUGGAGAAGGAGCUUUUUAGCAACAUUGUCAAUGGUGGUGGUUAGUUCAGUUGUUUUAUGUGGAGGUACAAAAGAAACAGAUACUAUUUGUCUCUCUAUCUCUCAGUUUCUUUAUAGAGAAAGAAGAGAUAGAGGAGCCAUGAAAGGUUCUUGAAAUUACUAAAGAGAAAGAAAAGAGAAUGCAGUGGGCAGCAUUAUGUCUGUUUGUCUUUACACGCUCUUCUUUUUUCUUUUUGUUGUAUUAAUUUCUUGAAAUCCAGCUGAGUCCCCACCCACUGAUCAUAUCUCUCUCCCACACACGAAGGUAUCGAAAGAAAAUGGUAAAGCUUAUGUGAAAGUUUGAUGAAUAUUUAUUAUAAGAAAGUUUUCCAUCAUUUUUACUUUGUAAGGUGGAGUUGGUGUGUAGGGCUCUUUGGGAGAAAGGAAAGGAAAGGAGCGGGUGUGGUUGUUGAACUGGCUCUUUCUUUCUCUACAUUCUUUGGCUCUAGCGGCUUGUUGGUAAGAGUUCUGUUAUCGUAUAUUGCCUGCUGUUCUCCCUAUAUAUACACAUACAAAUACAUUCUCAUUGUACAUCCCCAUAUAAGAUUUAAUUCAAUAAUAAAUAAUGGGGCCACAGAAUUGCAAAUUAAGUAUUAUCAACUAUAUUAAUCACAUGGAGACAAAAAAAAAAAAAAAAAUUGUGUGUGAAGAUUUUUUUUUAAUUUUAUGAUAUGGCUCUAUAAAUCAAAUUUUAAUUAACAAAAUGAGAGUAAACUCACUUGUUUAAUGAAUUAUGAGUUUAAAUUUAAUAAAUACUACUAACUAAUUAGUAGGAUAAUUAAAAUCAUUGGAGGUAGGCAUGACGUCUAUGUAAUAAGGUGUAGAGUAUCUCUCUCAUAGACACUUCAAUCAUUAGGAUGUCUCUUUUAAUCGAUGUAGUAAUUAGUAAUUAGGAUUAGAUUUGUUUAUUUUGCUCGUAAUAUAUUAAAAUGUUUUGGUUCGAGAAUCAUAAGAUGAUGGACCAUUCCCUCCCCACUAUAAGACAAAUUCCCGUGAAUCACGGAUUGGAUCGACUUGCACUAUUUCUACACUAUUAAUUAAGUCAAAACCAACACUAAUUGACCAAAAGUAAGCCAUAAGACCAACAAUGUCUCUAAUCAUUGAUGAUUUUUUUUUUUUUUUGGGAUGAAUGAUAUUAUUUUAUUUGAUACAUUAAUACCCAAUUAAUAUUUAAAAUUGAAUCAUUAACUACUAUAGUAAGCAAUUUAUCAUUGUAUUCUAACAAUAUUGAAAUUAAUUUUUUUUACACCCAAAUAUAAACCUAUAGCCUGGGUGAUUCCAUAGAUUGCAGGGGCAACGUAUGUUACCGUUAAGCAGCAUAAUUAUACUUUGGCUUUUUAGGUAUUAUUAUUAUUAUUAUUAUUAUUAUAAAGAAUGUUGGCGGCUCGGAGUAGGAGUUAAUGGAAGACAAAAGUGACUAGUGAUUAGGACAAGAGAGCUGUUGAGGUCUAAGAGAAGAUAUAGGGAUAGUUGUAUACUUUUUGAUAAUGUUUGACCAAUUGCUACUGGCCACGCGUUUUGGCGUUCGGAACCAGUCUCCAUCCCUAUCUAGUUCCUUACUAUUCACUCUGACCUAACGGGAACCGCUCUUCGUACGGCUUCAUUUUUUUUUACCCUUUAUUAAUUAACCACUUCCUAUGACUUUUCAAUUUCAUCAAGUAACACAAGAAAUAAGUAAAGCUUUAAUCAAGAAAGCAUCAACCUAAGAAAAAAAAAUGAAAAUAGAAAAGAAAGACAAAUAAAUAAUGUGAAAACAAGUUGUAUUGAUAUAUUAUUCACUUGCCUUUACAACCAGCAUAAUAGGAAUUUCACUAAAUGGGGAUACAAUGCCUAUCUAAAUUGGAAAUAAAACCUUAUAAAAAUUAAAGUUUAAUAUAAAAAAAAAAGAUUUAUAAAAUUAUUCUGAGUGGAAACAAAUUUGUAUAAUUACUAACUAUGACGGUAUAUUUGCAACUUUUUUGGACCCUAAAACUUAAUUUUAAGCCGAUGUCAAUAUUACUAUGGAAAAUAAUAUUUAUCUAAUGAAUGGUAAACGUUCAUUUUCACCUUUAUUUCUAUCAUUUUCAUAUGAAAGACGAGAAAGAAGAGGAAAAUGAGAAAGUUCCUUACGGCACCUAGUUUAAAUGUAUGGAAUUCUAUUCGAUUUCAUCAUCUUACUAGUUGUUACAUAAAAUUAGAAAGGCUUGGCAAAGAGCCUCCUAAAAUGAUGUAUGAAGCUGCUUUUCUUUGAGAAGAUGUAUGCAGCUUUUAUAAGCAAAUGAAGCAAAUGAAGGUGAAAAAACGGAAAUGCCAAACAAAGUCAAAAAAAAAAAAAAAAAAAAAAAAAAAAAAAAAAAAAAAAGUGAGGGACAUUAAUCAUCCAGAAUUAUAGCUCUUACAUGUUCUCUCUUGAACAACAACAGAAAAACCAAACACAUAAAUAAAAUCAUUUAGGCACUAUACAAGCACAAACUUUUAAACCAUUUAACCAUUCACAGAUGUCAUAUAGACAUUAGUCAUCCAGCAUUAAUGUGAUACUUCCAUAUAAACUUUAUCAAACCAGUAAUAAUAUCAAUAGCUGUUAGAGUUUCUCUUGAACUAUAGAAAAACCGAAUACAUCUACUAGUUGCAGUGCAACAAAGACAUUCUCCAUUAACAGAGACAAACACAUUCUCUAUCCUCCAUCAACAAAAUCAACAUCUUCAUCUGACCUCAGCGAGCUUCAUACUGAACAACUGCAAGAGGCAAACUUUUUGUGUUAAACCAAAUGAUUAAGCACUGAUAAGUCUUAAGAGUCAAGGGAGUCUGCAUCAGACAAACCAUAAGAUUUUGCUGAAAUCUAGACAUGUAAAAUAUACAUGUGGGAGAAGUGUCUAUGAAAGGAUAUAAAGGCCAAACAAGAAACAAGCACUAAAUGCAUGGUUACAACUGUUGCAUUGUAAACAUGUCAGUAUGUUGCAAAUUGUGGCCGGCACCAUAAAGAAACUUCUUAAAAAAAAAAAAAAAAAAAAUCAAAAAAAAACAAAAAAAAAAAAAAAAAAAAAAAAAAAAAAAAAAAGAAAA
This 32862-nucleotide long non-coding RNA is filed under the name Jatropha curcas. RNAcentral describes it as "long non-coding RNA (JCUR_LNC001842)". The record is from RNAcentral. Lineage: Eukaryota; Viridiplantae; Streptophyta; Magnoliopsida; Malpighiales; Euphorbiaceae.